CCAUUGCCUAUGCCUAGUACGGCGAGUGAAGCGGCAACAGCUCAAAUUUGAAAGCUAGCCUUCGGGUUCGCAUUGUAAUUUGUAGAGGAUGAUUUGGGGAAGCCGCCUGUCUAAGUUCCUUGGAACAGGACGUCAUAGAGGGUGAGAAUCCCGUAUGUGACAGGAAAUGGCACCCUAUGUAAAUCUCCUUCGACGAGUCGAGUUGUUUGGGAAUGCAGCUCUAAAUGGGAGGUAAAUUUCUUCUAAAGCUAAAUAUUGGCGAGAGACCGAUAGCGCACAAGUAGAGUGAUCGAAAGAUGAAAAGCACUUUGGAAAGAGAGUUAAAAAGCACGUGAAAUUGUUGAAAGGGAAGCGCUUGCAAUCAGACUUGUUUAAACUGUUCGGCCGGUCUUCUGACCGGUUUACUCAGUUUGGACAGGCCAGCAUCAGUUUCGGCGGCCGGAUAAAGGCUCUGGGAAUGUGGCCUCCACUUCGGUGGAGGUGUUAUAGCCCAGGGUGUAAUACGGCCAGCCGGGACUGAGGUCCGCGCUUCGGCUAGGAUGCUGGCGUAAUGGUUGUAAGCGACCCGUCUUGAAACACGGACCA
RNAcentral lists this ribosomal RNA (585 nucleotides) under Aureobasidium pullulans. Its description in RNAcentral is "partial large subunit ribosomal RNA". It matches the Rfam family "Eukaryotic large subunit ribosomal RNA", at positions 66 to 668 of the family's 3401-position model. Lineage: Eukaryota; Fungi; Ascomycota; Dothideomycetes; Dothideales; Saccotheciaceae. The record is from RNAcentral.